UGUGGUGACGAUGGCGAGAAGGAUACACCUGUUCCCAUGUCGAACACAGAAGUUAAGCUUCUUAGCGCCGAGAGUAGUUG
Molecule: ribosomal RNA, 80 nt
Filed under: Bacteroides fragilis
Lineage: Bacteria; Pseudomonadati; Bacteroidota; Bacteroidia; Bacteroidales; Bacteroidaceae
Also listed under: 1 other name
Source: RNAcentral